AGAAUGAACGCUGGCGGCAUGCCUAACACAUGCAAGUCGAACGAAGCCUUCGGGCUUAGUGGCGCACGGGUGCGUAACGCGUGGGAAUCUGCCCUUGGGUUCGGAAUAACAGCGAGAAAUUGCUGCUAAUACCGGAUGAUGACGUAAGUCCAAAGAUUUAUCGCCCAGGGAUGAGCCCGCGUAGGAUUAGCUAGUUGGUGAGGUAAAGGCUCACCAAGGCGACGAUCCUUAGCUGGUCUGAGAGGAUGAUCAGCCACACUGGGACUGAGACACGGCCCAGACUCCUACGGGAGGCAGCAGUGGGGAAUAUUGGACAAUGGGCGAAAGCCUGAUCCAGCAAUGCCGCGUGAGUGAUGAAGGCCUUAGGGUUGUAAAGCUCUUUACCGGAUGAUAAUGACAGUACCGGAGAAUAAGCUCCGGCUAACUCCGUGCCAGCAGCCGAC
This 443-nucleotide ribosomal RNA is filed under the name uncultured bacterium. Its description in RNAcentral is "SSU rRNA". It matches the Rfam family "Bacterial small subunit ribosomal RNA", at positions 26 to 518 of the family's 1533-position model. The record is from RNAcentral.